UCCCUGGUGGCUCAGAGGGUAAAAAGCAUCUGCCUCCAAUGCGGAACACCCAGGUUUGAUCCCUGGGUUGGGAA
Molecule: transfer RNA, 74 nt
Filed under: Bos taurus (domestic cattle)
Lineage: Eukaryota; Metazoa; Chordata; Mammalia; Artiodactyla; Bovidae
Also listed under: 2 other names
Rfam family: tRNA
About the family: Transfer RNA (tRNA) molecules are approximately 80 nucleotides in length.
Source: Rfam by way of RNAcentral